GCGGAAGUAGUUCAGCGGUAGAACACCACCUUGCCAAGGUGGGGGUCGCGGGUUCGAACCCUGUCUUCCGCUCCA
Molecule: transfer RNA, 75 nt
Filed under: Ureibacillus endophyticus
Lineage: Bacteria; Bacillati; Bacillota; Bacilli; Caryophanales; Caryophanaceae
Description: Lysinibacillus endophyticus tRNA-Gly
Rfam family: tRNA
About the family: Transfer RNA (tRNA) molecules are approximately 80 nucleotides in length.
Source: RNAcentral